UAGCGACGACGAAGUGCAAGAACGCCAAGUCAGAGCGAGUGGUGAACUGGUGAAGCUGAGCGGCGUCGCCGCCGCCGGGCGGUGAAGUGAUGGCGUUGGCGUGAUCGAUGGAGGGCAAGACGGCCAAGAUCCUCGCCGGCGUGGCGGCCGUCGUGCUGGCGGCCCUCGAGCUCUCCCUGUUCCUCUGCUUCCGCCUGUCUCGGCCCUUCUACCUCUCGACGGCGGUCAUCCUGUCGGCCGUGCUGGCGGGCACCGUAGCGGCGCUGCUGUGCCACCAGGGGCGGGCCGAGCGCAUGGCGCGGCGGCCGGCGAUGGACGGCGGCGGCGCGGAGGUGUCGGUGCGCGUGGAGUACAGCUUCUUCCGCAAGGUCGCCGGGCUGCCCAGCCGGUUCUCGCUGGAGGCGCUGGCGGCGGCGACGGACGACUUCCAGUGCGUGAUCGGGCGGGGCUCGUCGGGGACGGUGUUCAAGGGUAUCCUCGACGACGGCACGGCCGUGGCGGUGAAGCGGAUCGACGGGUCGCCGCACGUGGACAAGGAGUUCCGGUCGGAGGUGUCGGCGAUCGGCAGCGUGCAGCACGUGAGCCUCGUCCGCCUCCUCGGCUUCUGCCUCGUCCGGAACGGCCCGCGCUUCCUCGUCUACGAGUUCAUGGAGAACGGGUCCCUCGACAAGUGGAUCUUCCCGCAGCACGGUGGCGGCGGCGGCGGGCGGUGCCUGACGUGGCUGCAGCGGUACCAGGUCGCCGUCGACGUGGCGAAGGCGCUGGCGUACCUGCACCACGACUGCCGCGCCAAGGUGGUGCACCUGGACGUGAAGCCGGAGAACAUCCUCCUCGACGACCGCCUCCGGGGGAUGCUCUCCGACUUCGGGCUGUCGGCGCUGAUGGGGAAGGAGCAGAGCCGGGUGGUGACGACGGUGCGCGGCACGACGGGGUACCUGGCGCCGGAGUGGCUGCUGGGCGCCGGCGUGACGGAGAAGUCCGACGUGUACAGCUACGGGAUGGUGCUGAUGGAGAUGCUCGGCGGGCGGCGGAACCUGCAGGCGGAGCCCGGCCCGGGGGGGUCCCGGCGGUGGUCCUACUUCCCGAAGCUCGUCGCCGACAAGGUCCGGGAGGGGCGCGUGAUGGAGGUGCUGGACCGGCAGCUCGUACCGUCGUCGGUGGACGAGGCGGCGGUGCGGCGGCUCGCGCACGUGGCGCUGUGGUGCACGCAGGAGAAGGCCGGCGCGCGGCCGGCGAUGGCGCGCGUCGUGGAGAUGCUGGAGGCCAGGGGAGGAGCUUCCGUGGAGCCGCCGCCGCCGUCGGACAUGAUCAUCGUCAACCUACUCGCCCUCGACCCCGCCGCGCACGCGCACCGCGGCGGCGGCGGUGGCCCGUUCGGGCUGCCCGCGCUGCCGCCGGGAUCGGCCGGGACGGCGUCGUCGGUGGUGAGCAUGAGCGAUUCGUUCGCGCUCUCCUACCUGUCCGGGCGGUAGCGCGCGGCAUCGCGUAGCGAUCAGCCGAUCCGCACGCCAGGAUGCUCCAACAUCUGAGGAGUUCAUGAUGGUUUCGUGAGUGGCGACAGUCUGACAGACUGUACAGGGUCUCAUCAUUGAUGCUCCAAACGAAGGUGCAGAUUCUGUCUUCAGCUCGGUUGCAUCGAUGCCUGCCUCUGAAGAUUGAGAUGCAGUAUUUGAGAAUGAAUUGGCAUGACAGGGAAAAUGCAGGCAGACCAUUGUUGUUAGCCAUGAUUUCUCAAUCGGGAUGUACCUUGAAGCUCCAAAGUCUGAUACCUUGGAUGUGAGAUUAUCGUCAAGAAGUAUGUUGCUGGGCUUGAUAUCUCUAUGAAUUAUUGGGAUUGAAACUGAUGAGUGAAGAUAGGAUAAGUGCACUAGCAAUUUCGGCUGCAAUCCUCAACCUUGUAAAGUUGUUUGUUGCCUUUUCAAGUUCAUCCAAUGUUAUGAUCAUCCUUUCUCCAAUAUCUGCCCUUUGGGAUACCAAUUGUUUCACUAGU
Molecule: RNA transcript, 1990 nt
Organism: Setaria italica (foxtail millet)
Lineage: Eukaryota; Viridiplantae; Streptophyta; Magnoliopsida; Poales; Poaceae
Gene name: probable receptor-like protein kinase At5g20050
Exons: 2
Source: RefSeq, a predicted model, not a curated record